CGUGUAGGCGGAUUGGUAAGUCAGAUGUGAAAGCCCCGGGCUCAACCUGGGAACUGCAUUUGAAACUGCUAGUCUUGAGUGGUGGAGAGGGAAGCGGAAUUCCUGGUGUAGAGGUGAAAUUCGUAGAUAUCAGGAGGAACACCGGUGGCGAAGGCGGCUUCCUGGACACUUACUGACGCUGAGACGCGAAAGCGUGGGGAGCAAACA
Molecule: ribosomal RNA, 207 nt
Filed under: uncultured bacterium
Lineage: Bacteria
Description: partial 16S ribosomal RNA
Rfam family: Bacterial small subunit ribosomal RNA
Source: RNAcentral